Molecule: long non-coding RNA, 988 nt
Organism: Capsicum annuum
Lineage: Eukaryota; Viridiplantae; Streptophyta; Magnoliopsida; Solanales; Solanaceae
Exons: 2
Source: RefSeq, a predicted model, not a curated record
UCAAGAUCGAUCCAAUGGCUGAAAUCGACCCACUCAACUCUUUUCUUUUUAAGCUUAACCCCUAACCCCAGCCAUCAUUCUCACCAAAAUAGCCGCAGUCUCCCUUUUCUCUAUAUUUUCUCUUUCUCUAACCCGACGAAAAUCGCCGCUCCUUUGACCUCUACAUCUCCGCCGCCGACAAAGACACCACCAGCAGCUCAUAUCGGAUGAAACCAGCCAACCGUCGCCAUCCACCUCCGGCGCCGCUGCAAGCAGCCAUGCAGCCGGCGAUCCUCCCAACGCCGCUGCCACCUCCGAGGCCCUCCACCGACAACAAUAUCAACGACCAAGUCGCCAACAGUACCAAUGCCGCCGCCGCCUUCCACCAGCGUUGCCAGCAUCCAAGACGCCGUCCCUCACCGGCAACCGACACCAGCGAUCCAGCAGUCCGUACCACCACCAGGACACCAACAUCCACCCUUAUUCUUUAGAGCCACCAAAUCACCCGCCACCGCCACCCUUUCCACUUGUCCGACUCACCAAAAAAUCAUGAAGGAUUCGUAAUAGAUUCGUCCAGGUUCAAAAGCACGGGCUCCAGAGCACCCUUAGCAGUUCAGAUUCUCAGCUUUCAGAGUAGUGAUGAGUCCUCAUAGUUCAAGGACAUAUUAUUUACAGUACUUCAAUUUUAUUUCAAUAGAUGGAGUUAUUUGGGGGCUUUUCCCAUCAACUCCACAGUUCAGACAGUUAGACGUUUUUUCAGACUAGAGUACUUUCAGACAGUUGUUCAAUUUUUCUAUACUUAAAUUCAGUUUUGGUAUUUUGAUACCGCAUUCAGAUUUAUUUACAGAUUUGAACCUUUAUUGUAGCGGGGAUUAUGAGCACCAUAUAGCGUACAGGGUACAGACUCGGGGCAUUACAAAAAGGAAAUUUGGAUUAAUUGAUAUUUUUCUUUCCUUCUAUUUAUUUUGACUGAUUAUAUUAGUAAGUGUGAUCUUUAUAUUUAAGGCAA